This 2037-nucleotide long non-coding RNA is filed under the name Musa acuminata (dwarf banana). RNAcentral's name for it is "long non-coding RNA (MACU_LNC002617)". Lineage: Eukaryota; Viridiplantae; Streptophyta; Magnoliopsida; Zingiberales; Musaceae. The record is from RNAcentral.
UUGGGAAGUAGAUUUAAGAAGAGUUGUGACUGAGCUUUACCAUCUUUUUGAUUCAGGCCUUUUACCACAUUAAAGUCAGAGUUGGGACCGCAGGCCCAUGACACUGACACCGAAAGAAAUCUCUCGAUUGAACAAUGCUCAAGCCAUCAACUUUUUGUGGGGACUCUUCCAGAGCCUGCACCAAUAAGCAAAAAAGUUUUGUGGUUAUCCGAAUCAAUGUGCCAAUUCCUUGUCAAGAAAGUAUAUAAGAAAAAAAGAAUAAUCAUUUGUGCUUCUAGUAACUUUCUUCGAGAAAAGAAUAAUUUUUUUUUUUAGAGAUUCAAGUCAAAUAAUCACCACAGCCACAAGAUUGGAAGUUUUGAGAUUCUUUUUCCGGGGAACAAUCCAUUGUCAAUCAAUCUAUUAACAGGAAAGCACUCUCAAUAAGCUCAAGAGAUUAGAUUGAGACCAUAAGUUGCCUAACUCAGUACCUUUUCCGGUAUUAAUUAGGUCUCACUUUGAUUAAGAUAGGAGACAACUAAUCAUACAUGUUUAGCAACAUCACCAAACCUUUUAACUAGUUUUGUUGGAACUACUAAUGCUUGGGAUACCUGCGGUGCAAGCACAUGUACUGCCCCGUUAAAUUGAAAGGAAUCCAGUUAAAUUAUUCGUUGACCUGCAAAGAUUCAUAUUAAAGACAAAUGGUCCCCAACAGAACCAAAAAGAAAUGGAAGCUUAAUCCUUGCAUCAGAACUUACAGUCACCUGCAUGGAUCAGAAUUGAUGCAUAUCUUUUGUGAUCAGAGAUGGAAAGGACGAAUUGUUUAGCUUUCAGCUCCAGAAUUGAGGUCAAGUCUCCUUCUAAACUCAUCGCUCAUAACAUAAGCUUCACUUAAAGCAUUCUGUGAAGAAGCAAUCAAAUAUAAGAAACACUUUUCAUGCAGACACUCUUUAUAAACAUGUCAUUUGAAGCGCGCAUCCAGGCGUUUGUCUGUGAACCAUUUGCUCUGUGUCACGUUCUGUCCCUCUGCUUUUGCUUCUCUUCUGAACAUGCGUACGAGGACCAUGGCUUUGAGCAAUAUCGCUCCUGUAGUGUCUACCACAGAACAUGAACGCCACAGUGAGGAAGCUGACAAAACCCACCUUUGAAGCCUGAACGCAAAGGUGGUGCAACUCCUUGACAACAAAAAUGCCGGAAGAGCAAUAUUCCCGGGCACUAGUUACAAAAUGUGAUUGGCAAUUCUCUCCAAACCAAUGCAGAUCUCUUGUGGAAUUAGAAAAACAAUGUGGCGCUUCCCACAGAGUGAAAACAGAGUACUGGAAAUGUCUCACAAGUUCACCGAAGAGUUAAUUUACUGGAUGUGCCAUGUGCAGCUCAUAUGUUGUUGCGCUGUUAACUUUGGCACAGACAGCGUGUUAAUUCUUGUAUUGUCAACAGAUGACAAGGGAAAAUUGUACUUCAAGAAACGUAUAAAACUGUCGGUGUGUUUCCAUGUUACUGGAAGUACAAGUACAGGGGACAAAUAUAAGUGGAAAAAAGGCUGCAUCGAUGUUGAUAUGAGUUAUUAAAUGGUAGAACCAUCUCCUUUAUUGCUAUAUGAAGAGAACAUAUUACUCUAUUAGUAAGAUUCUUUUGGUGAAGAGGCCUAUUUGAGAUUCAAGGAACUAUAUCCACCUUCGCAAGAGCUUUAUGAUCGUCAAUAUAUAACCAAAUAUUUUGAUGAUAUUAAAAAAUAUUAUUUAAGUGAACUCGGAUGGAGUUGCUUUUGUGCUAUGCUUAAAAAGUAUUAUUCUUUUGGUGAUGAUAUUUUGACCAAGGCACCCACUGAGAGAGUGAUAGGCACAAAGACACACCACCUUACGUGCAUUAAAUCGUGAGCUAUACUCCUUACCUACUAAAUCUUUGUUUUUUGGGGGACCAUUUGGUGAUCAACGCUAGCAAAGAUGAAGUCAUAUGAAUCGAAAUCAGAAGCAAUGGCAAGCGUGGAGCGGUAAGUACCAGAGUGGGUGGAUAACUUUUCUCACCUGUGAGACAGACGGAGAGAUAGGAAGGUGGUCG